Molecule: ribosomal RNA, 497 nt
Filed under: uncultured bacterium
Lineage: Bacteria
Description: partial 16S ribosomal RNA
Rfam family: Bacterial small subunit ribosomal RNA
Source: RNAcentral
GAUGAACGCUGGCGGCGUGCCUAAUACAUGCAAGUCGAGCGAACAGACGAGGAGCUUGCUCCUCUGACGUUAGCGGCGGACGGGUGAGUAACACGUGGAUAACCUACCUAUAAGACUGGGAUAACUUCGGGAAACCGGAGCUAAUACCGGAUAAUAUAUUGAACCGCAUGGUUCAAUAGUGAAAGACGGUUUUGCUGUCUCUUAUAGAUGGAUCCGCGCCGCAUUAGCUAGUUGGUAAGGUAACGGCUUACCAAGGCGACGAUGCGUAGCCGACCUGAGAGGGGGAUCGGCCACACUGGAACUGAGACACGGUCCAGACUCCUACGGGAGGCAGCAGUAGGGAAUCUUCCGCAAUGGGCGAAAGCCUGACGGAGCAACGCCGCGUGAGUGAUGAAGGUCUUCGGAUCGUAAAACUCUGUUAUUAGGGAAGAACAAAUGUGUAAGUAACUAUGCACGUCUUGACGGUACCUAAUCAGAAAGCCACGGCUAACUACGUG